This 73-nucleotide transfer RNA is filed under the name bacterium. RNAcentral's name for it is "tRNA-Gly". It matches the Rfam family "tRNA". From Rfam's summary of the family: Transfer RNA (tRNA) molecules are approximately 80 nucleotides in length. Their secondary structure includes four short double-helical elements and three loops (D, anti-codon, and T loops). Further hydrogen bonds mediate the characteristic L-shaped molecular structure. tRNAs have two regions of fundamental functional importance: the anti-codon, which is responsible for specific mRNA codon recognition, and the 3' end, to which the tRNAs corresponding amino acid is attached (by aminoacyl-tRNA synthetases). tRNAs cope with the degeneracy of the genetic code in two manners: having more than one tRNA (with a specific anti-codon) for a particular amino acid; and 'wobble' base-pairing, i.e. permitting non-standard base-pairing at the 3rd anti-codon position. The record is from RNAcentral.
GCGGCGGUAGCUCAGUUGGUAGAGCAUUAGCUUCCCAAGCUAAAUGUCGAGGGUUCGAACCCCUUCCGCCGCU